UGGCGAACGGGUGAGUAAUGCGUGACCAACCUGCCCCAUGCUCCAGAAUAGCUCUUGGAAACGGGUGGUAAUGCUGGAUGCUCCAACUUGACGCAUGUCUUGUUGGGAAAGUGUUUAGUGGCAUGGGAUGGGGUCGCGUCCUAUCAGCUUGUAGGCGGGGUAAUGGCCCACCUAGGCUUCGACGGGUAGCCGGCCUGAGGGGGCGGACGGCCACAUUGGGACUGAGAUACGGCCCAUACUCCUACGGGAGGCAGCAGGG
This 259-nucleotide ribosomal RNA is filed under the name uncultured Gardnerella sp. Its description in RNAcentral is "partial 16S ribosomal RNA". It matches the Rfam family "Bacterial small subunit ribosomal RNA", at positions 96 to 354 of the family's 1533-position model. The record is from RNAcentral. Lineage: Bacteria; Bacillati; Actinomycetota; Actinomycetes; Bifidobacteriales; Bifidobacteriaceae.